Molecule: ribosomal RNA, 497 nt
Filed under: uncultured bacterium
Lineage: Bacteria
Description: partial 16S ribosomal RNA
Rfam family: Bacterial small subunit ribosomal RNA
Source: RNAcentral
GAUGAACGCUGGCGGCGUGCCUAAUACAUGCAAGUCGAGCGAACGGACGAGAAGCUUGCUUCUCUGAUGUUAGCGGCGGACGGGUGAGUAACACGUGGAUAACCUACCUAUAAGACUGGGAUAACUUCGGGAAACCGGAGCUAAUACCGGAUAAUAUUUUGAACCGCAUGGUUCAAAAGUGAAAGACGGUCUUGCUGUCACUUAUAGAUGGAUCCGCGCUGCAUUAGCUAGUUGGUAAGGUAACGGCUUACCAAGGCAACGAUGCAUAGCCGACCUGUGAGGGUGAGCGGCCACACUGGAACUGAGACACGGUCCAGACUCCUACGGGAGGCAGCAGUAGGGAAUCUUCCGCAAUGGGCGAAAGCCUGACGGAGCAACGCCGCGUGAGUGAUGAAGGUCUUCGGAUCGUAAAACUCUGUUAUUAGGGAAGAACAUAUGUGUAAGUAACUGUGCACAUCUUGACGGUACCUAAUCAGAAAGCCACGGCUAACUACGUG